CAGCAGCCGCGGGAAAACGAAGGGUGCAAGCGUUAAUCGGAAUUACUGGGCGUAAAGCGCGCGUAGGUGGUUUGUUAAGUUGGAUGUGAAAUCCCCGGGCUCAGCCUGGGAACUGCAUUCAAAACUGACUGACUAGAGUAUGGUAGAGGGUGGUGGAAUUUCCUGUGUAGCGGUGAAAUGCGUAGAUAUAGGAAGGAACACCAGUGGCGAAGGCGACCACCUGGACUAAUACUGACACUGAGGUGCGAAAGCGUGGGGAGCAAACAGGAUUAGAUACCCCAGAGUCCCUGUCUCUUAUACA
This 301-nucleotide ribosomal RNA is filed under the name uncultured bacterium. RNAcentral describes it as "partial 16S ribosomal RNA". It matches the Rfam family "Bacterial small subunit ribosomal RNA", at positions 509 to 808 of the family's 1533-position model. The record is from RNAcentral.